This 403-nucleotide ribosomal RNA is filed under the name bacterium. Its description in RNAcentral is "bacterial SSU rRNA". It matches the Rfam family "Bacterial small subunit ribosomal RNA", at positions 1 to 363 of the family's 1533-position model. The record is from RNAcentral.
UUUAUGGAGAGUUUGAUCCUGGCUCAGGAUUAACGCUGGCGGCGUGCCUAACACAUGCAAGUCGAGCGGCAGCGAGUUUUACACUGAAUUCUGGAAGCUUCUGGUUGAAAGGGAAGAUUUAUUCAAGAAUUUUGUGUAAAAUGUCGGCGAGCGGCGGACGGCUGAGUAACGCGUGGGAACGUACCCCAAAGUGAGGGAUAACGCAUCGAAAGGUGUGCUAAUACCGCAUAUGGUCUUCGGAUUAAAGCCUUCGGGCGCUUUGGGAACGGCCUGCGUCAGAUUAGAUAGUUGGUGAGGUAAUGGCUCACCAAGUCGACGAUCUGUAACUGGUUUGAGAGGAUGAUCAGUCAGACUGGAACUGAGACACGGUCCAGACUCCUACGGGAGGCAGCAGUGAGGAAUC